This 283-nucleotide long non-coding RNA is filed under the name Vigna radiata. RNAcentral's name for it is "long non-coding RNA (VRAD_LNC008474)". The record is from RNAcentral. Lineage: Eukaryota; Viridiplantae; Streptophyta; Magnoliopsida; Fabales; Fabaceae.
UGAUCUGAUGCUGAAGANGAGAGACUUGANCGGGGGUGUGUUUANCAAAGGAGGUUGUGNCGCUAGCAACUUUAGCACUNAUGUGGACAGUUUUGCCCCUUCUCUUGGUGUCUCCAAAUUCCACUUAAAAAUGUAUGAAGAGAACUUGCCUAUUUGGAUCCAUGUCCUCAAGCUCUUCUUGGAGUCUUCUAACCAUGCUUCUAGUAAUGGGUUCAUGACCCAAGUCAUCAUCCCCUCCCCCUUGGAAAGGAUUUGCCCUCAAAUAUGAUAGUUUGCUUCAGGA